RNAcentral lists this ribosomal RNA (868 nucleotides) under uncultured archaeon. RNAcentral describes it as "bacterial SSU rRNA". It matches the Rfam family "Archaeal small subunit ribosomal RNA", at positions 125 to 995 of the family's 1478-position model. The record is from RNAcentral.
CAUAACCUCGGGAAACUGGGUAUAAUACCCGAUAGGUCUCGAUUGCUGGAAUGCAUCGAGAUUUAAAGCUCCGGCGCCUAAGGAUGGGUCUGCGGCCUAUCAGGUAGUAGUGGGUGUAGCGUACCUACUAGCCUACGACGGGUACGGGUUGUGAGAGCAAGAGCCCGGAGAUGGAUUCUGAGACACGAAUCCAGGCCCUACGGGGUGCAGCAGGCGCGAAAACUUUACAAUGCUGGCAACAGCGAUAAGGGAACCUCGAGUGCCAGGUUACAAAUCUGGCUGUCGAGAUGCCUAAAAAGCAUUUCAUAGCAAGGGCCGGGCAAGACCGGUGCCAGCCGCCGCGGUAACACCGGCGGCUCGAGUGGUAACCGUUAUUAUUGGGUCUAAAGGGUCUGUAGCCGGCCGGAUAAGUCUCUUGAGAAAUCUGGCAGCUUAACUGUCAGGCUUUCAGGAGAUACUGUCUGGCUCGAGGCCGGGAGAGGUGAGAGGUACUUCAGGGGUAGGGGUGAAAUCUUGUAAUCCUUGAAGGACCACCAGUGGCGAAGGCGUCUCACCAGAACGGACCUGACGGCAAGGGACGAAAGCUAGGGGCACGAACCGGAUUAGAUACCCGGGUAGUCCUAGCCGUAAACGAUACUCGCUAGGUGUCGGCCACGGUGCGACCGUUGUCGGUGCCGUAGGGAAGCCGUGAAGCGAGCCACCUGGGAAGUACGGCCGCAAGGCUGAAACUUAAAGGAAUUGGCGGGGGAGCACCACAACGGGUGGAGCUUGCGAUUUAAUUGGAUUCAACGCCGGAAAUCUUACCGGGACCGACAGCAAUAUGAAGGCAGGCUGAAGACUUUGCCGGAUUAGCUGAGAGGUGGUGCAU